Molecule: long non-coding RNA, 3815 nt
Filed under: Solanum tuberosum (potato)
Lineage: Eukaryota; Viridiplantae; Streptophyta; Magnoliopsida; Solanales; Solanaceae
Description: long non-coding RNA (STUB_LNC006020)
Source: RNAcentral
UCCGAGCAACAUAGGUCUUCUGCAUAAUGCAGAAUAGCAUCAGGGUCUUAACGAGUGAGGUUUCUAGAGUUUAGUCAGCUUUUUAACCAGUGAGGUUUCUGAGGCAGUAAGGGACAUGAAAUUUCAGUUUCCUUAUCAUAAUAUAUAGGUAGAGAGGUUGUUUCCAAAGGUCCUCGACUCAAGUGCAGCAGAUCAAUGUAGUUAUGAAAAGGAAAAACAACAGUGAAGAAAACAUAACAACUAACAAUGAAAGGAGUGCAGCGCAUUCAGAAAAGGAACAGUAACAACAACAAAAUAGUGCGAUAACUGAAAACACAACAAACAACAAAUGAUGGUAGAUAUCAAAAGCGAGAAACUACAAGAAUAAGACUAAUACUACGACAGACACCACCAAGUCUAAACCGCGUUAGCAAGAUCUAAUUGUUCAAAUAUGAGUUUUCAAAACCAAAAGGUACUAGAGAUAGUUCGAAGAGUACUUACAGGGAUAUCAGUAAUAUCUCCAAUACCAAAGACAUUGCUUCGACCCUUGACCUUCAAAUCAGAAUCAACCAUCAACCUUCCAUGAAUAUCCAAACUACCUUUCAAGACGGUUUCUUUUAGCCACCCUGAACCUAUCGGCUUUCCAAUGCAAAUGAAAUGGCAUUCAGCAUCUAUAGUUUGUCCACCAGAUGUUUUGUAAACACCGUCUUUUGCAGAAUUUACAUCGACAGAUUGCCCCAAUAUGAUCUCAACCUUCCUUGAUUUUAGCCAAUGCACUACCUUAUUGCUAGCACUUUCUCCUAUAAAUUCCAACAACAUUGAUCCCCUAUGCACAAUCGUCACCUUCUUAUCGGGAUAAUCCACAGCAAUUUCAGCAGCCAGUUCCACUCCUGUUUGUCCUCCCCCGAUUAUUAAUAUGGAGCUGGCAGAUUUAAUCUUUUGAUGAUCUGUAAACCAAUAAAAAUUAGUAGAAAUGAAGCUAUUGAUGAGUACGGUUACUCUGUCCACCACGGCUAGAACAAAUAGAAAGAAAUCAUCUACUGUUUUUUUGUCUCUAUUGAUAUCUGUCCACCGGAGAAAGUGUAUAAUUUCACUAGUAAAGUCCCUCGGGAAGGUAUACAACAACUACAACUCAACCACAAACUAUUUGAGUAGCAAAGGUUUUAAAAAAUAAAAGAUUAUAAUGCAAACUACGAGUAUAUCGAUUGAUCCAUGAUGCUACCUGUUUGGUAUUGAGAAAACUUCUCAUCUUUCGUGUAAGCACCAGUUUCCGAGUGACCAGUAGCAAUAACAGCAAAAUCAUACGCAACUUUGUCGCCUUUUGCAGUUACAACCUCUGUAUCCGUGAUGUUAGCAGCAGCAGAUGUAAUGACAUUUCCAUGGGGAAGGUAUUCGGAGUGACUAAAGACGGCUCGUUUUGCAAAUGAAGGAUCACACAUUGACCUUAAUGCAGCCCAAGGAAUCUCAAAAUACUCCUUCCUGUUCAUAUUUUUCGUAUUCUGUUAAUUAAAACACACUACAAAUAAUAAAUCCUUGUAACAUCUUAAUGAAAACAGCUAAUAAGUGCUUCCAUCGCAUAAUUGAUUACAUAAUAAGCUAUCCGUUAAGAAAAUGGACCUUGGACCUAACUCAUGAGGCGAUUGCCAAAGACAGACCAUAUAAGGAGACAACAACAUGUAACACUCCCUUCCCUAGAACCCCACGACUGGAUAUAUAGAGCGUGAACAACAUAAUAUGUGAACCUUAAUAGGGUAAUCAAGAAUAUGAAUAGGUCUGACUCUGAUACAACGUUCAAAAAUGGAUAUUAAGCUUAACGCAAAUCCCAAAAGUUCGGUCAUGAGAUGAUGAUUAUCCAUACAUAUAUUAGAAAACAACAACAAUCCAUUCUCUCAAUCAAUGGUAUCAACUACGCCUCAAUCUCAAACUAUCUAUAAUCGGCCAUUUAACUAAUGAUAGAACGACUCAGGCUUAUAGUCUAGUUGUACCCGUAGGAGCCUCCGAUACAAUAGGUGUAGGUUCAAUUUCCACGAUCCCUUCUCCCACCCCCCAUUUAAUGAAGAAAAGAAAAAACAAAACAAAGUGCUUUGCGAACCAUGAGAGUCAAAUUCCAGCAAAGGCAAAAACAUUAUUCUCUCUGUCCCAAUCUAUAUGGACAGUUCAAAUUUCGAGAGUCAAAUUUCUUAACGUGAAUUCGGACACAUAAUCUUUGAGUUAAAUAAAAUAAAAUUCAUAUAUUUGAAAACUACAUAAGUCAAUGAUGAACAAUUAUUCAAAAUACUCAAAAGACAUAAAACAAUCAUAGUCAAAGAGAAACUCGUUUGACUCUCGAAAUUCUAAAGGUGCCACAUAAAUAAGGACCGAAUUAAGGAGUAAGCGAUUCCUUCUCAUCCAUCCAAACCUUGAUGAACAGAGUUACCCAUUACCUAUACUUAUGCAACACAACAUGUACUCGUGAUGCGUACAAGCUGACCCAGACACCACGAUUAUCAAAAUUUUUAUAACAAAUUCAUAAAAAAAAAAACUCACAUAUCAAUGAGGGUAACAUUGGCUUCAUCUUGAAGACUCCUUGCAAUAAGAGAUCCAGCAACUCCACCUCCAAUCACCACUACUCUUUUCUUCUCUCCCUCGGAAUCCGCCAUGGCUCAAUUCGACAAUGCAGCAUAAAAAAACUAAACAACACAAUUCCCCUAAUACCCAAAUGAUCUCUACAUAGGUACAUACAAAGAGGGAACAAUCUUGAAAAAAUUUCAAUUUUUUUUUAUGGAUUUGUUCUUAUGAAAACUUGUUUGUAUUAAAAAGAAAAAAAAUGGUUAUCGGCGAUAGCUAUCGCCGAUAACACCACAACUGCUUUGUCCUAAAAGGGGGGACUGAAGGAUUGGGAAGACGAUGAAUAAAUAGAGUUAUAAUAAUAAUUAUAAUAAAGGUAAAACAAAAUGUGAAUGGUGAAGAGUAGAGAAAGGGAGCUCUGUUUUUUGUUUUGUUUUGUGCAUGGCAGGUUUUGCUUAUUUUUAGGAAAAAAAUGAUUGAAAAUAUUACACAUAAGUUUAUAUAUAUGUUAAUAAGGAUAAGUCUUGUCUUUAAAUGAUGACAUAAUACGUAAAUGUACUCUUUAACAUGGUCUUAUCUGAUAUGAUAUUUAUGCUCUGUAACUUUGGUGUGCAUAACUAGUCAGUUAAACUUGUACAUUUUUGAUUACUCUAUUGUGUAAUUUAAUCAUCUCGGUUUCUCUUUGAUGUCGAUUAAGUUCAUUUUUUUAAAUUAAAACAUCAUAUAGGAAUUGUAUUGUUAUAUAUUAUGUCUCAUUUGAUCCUUCAUUUGUAUCGAUAUACUCAUGUUUAACGUGUGAUAAGGGUGUCAAAAUUUUGAGCUAUUUUUUACAAACGUACUUAAUUCCAUGCAAUUGUAUUGGAUAUUGACAAUCAAAUCUGUCUAUAACAACGUUAUUUGUUCGGAUAGUUUUUGGUUCUAUAGCGAAAUGUCGUUAUAGAGAUCACAUAUAACAUAACAUAACAUAACAUGGAAAAUUGGUUCUACAAGAACUCAUCGAUCACUAUAGUGAAAUGUUAUUAGAGAAUAUGACUAUUAUAGAAAUGUCCGAGCAACAUAGUCUCUAUCACCAACAUAGUGGAAAUGUGAAGUAUGAGAAAAAGUAGGCGAAUAAAUAGACAUUCUUCCAAUAUUUUUAAGUACUUUUUUUGUCCACAUUGACCAAAGUAGUAUACACAAUUCAUUGGAAAAGUAAAUAAAUGCGUACACUCUAGCCUUUUCAGACUUCACUUUGUGAGAUUACGCUGGAUAUAUUGUUGGUUUAUAUGCCUUCAAAACAAGGUUGACAA